UGACGGUACCUGACUAAGAAGCCCCGGCUAACUACGUGCCAGCAGCCGCGGUAAUACGUAGGGGGCAAGCGUUAUCCGGAUUUACUGGGUGUAAAGGGAGCGUAGACGGCAUGGCAAGUCUGAAGUGAAAGCUCGCGGCUCAACCGCGGAACUGCUUUGGAAACUGUCAAGCUAGAGUACCGGAGGGGUAAGCGGAAUUCCUAGUGUAGCGGUGAAAUGCGUAGAUAUUAGGAGGAACACCAGUGGCGAAGGCGGCUUACUGGACGAUCACUGACGCUGAGGCUCGAAAGCGUGGGGAGCAAACAGGAUUAGAUACCCUG
RNAcentral lists this ribosomal RNA (320 nucleotides) under uncultured bacterium. Its description in RNAcentral is "bacterial SSU rRNA". It matches the Rfam family "Bacterial small subunit ribosomal RNA", at positions 470 to 789 of the family's 1533-position model. The record is from RNAcentral.